UUAAUUUAAAAACCUAAAAAGACUGGGGACCAAACAGUACAAUCGCCGACAAAAACAAACAGCUGGAACAAAAGAGUUAGGAGAAGAUUCUGGGUAAGAGAGAUAGAGAAGAAACAGGCACUGAGUUUGGGAAGAGAUAAACAUCGGGUCUUUGAAGCUCAAACAAUAAUCAAAAGCAAAGAAAAGACCGCCGGAAGCAAAAGAUAGUUUUGAGAGAAAAGAAAAACAGAGUGACGACGCCGUUAGAUGCGCGGAGAAGAAAAACUCACCGUGUACGGAGCAGAAACCCGAGAAGAAGAUUCGGAUCUCUCCAUCGAGGCGUUGAUAAAAUCGAUCAAACCAGAAGAAGGUUGAAGAAAAAAAGAUAGUGGAGAGCUUUUUCUGAUAAAAUAGUGGUCAGAGUCUUUUGAAAAACGCUCAUCAUGCGAUGCAAUGUAAGAGGUAACGCCUCGUGCUGGGACCCACAAAUAUCAAUAUUCUAACAACCGUUUAUGGAGCAACUGGAUUAUAAUUUUUAUGUGAUUAAUUAUUUUAAUAGAAUGGAAGUCAUUCUACCAAUCUCAAAAAUAAUUAAAUAAAAUACAAAGAAAAACUAUUCUUUGACAAAUUUGUUAAUGAAUAAAUAAAAUAAAUAUUAUUAUACUUUUUGAUGUAUUUCAGUUUUACUAUUUCAUUUAUUUUUAAUUCACUGACUUUUAUUAGUUCACCAAUCACAGCUUCAACAUAUAUGUUUUAAAGCUACAGAAUAUUUAGUUUUAAGUUUAUGUACGUAUACACCUAAUAAAUUCAUGUCAAGUGUUUUUUUCGUGUACAUAAAAAAACAAAAAAAAACACUCACCAUAUACGAAGCAGAAACACGAAAAGAUUCAGAUCUAUCUUUCCAUGGAGAAGAACAAUACUUUUGUUUUUAGGGAUUUAGGAAGAAUGGUUCAUUCUUUGUUUAGCAAGAAGCUAUUUAGAAUACCAUUUCUUUUAUUUUUUUAUCAAUCAUAUUAAUUUACCAAAAUAAUUUAAAUCUACAAACUAAAAUUAAA
Brassica napus (rape) is the source of this 1034-nucleotide long non-coding RNA. RefSeq lists it as uncharacterized. The transcript is spliced from 2 exons. NCBI's taxonomy places the organism in Eukaryota, Viridiplantae, Streptophyta, Magnoliopsida, Brassicales, Brassicaceae. The record is from RefSeq and is a predicted model, not a curated record.